Molecule: ribosomal RNA, 253 nt
Filed under: uncultured bacterium
Lineage: Bacteria
Description: partial 16S ribosomal RNA
Rfam family: Bacterial small subunit ribosomal RNA
Source: RNAcentral
UACAUAGGGUGCGAGCGUUAAUCGGAAUUACUGGGCGUAAAGCGCACGUAGGUGGCUUCGUAAGUCGGGUGUGAAAGCCCCGGGCUCAACCUGGGAAUUGCAUUCGAGACUGCAUUGCUGGAGUACGGAAGAGGAGGGCGGAAUUCCCGGUGUAGCGGUGAAAUGCGUAGAUAUCGGGAGGAACAUCAGUGGCGAAGGCGGCCCUCUGGUCCAGUACUGACACUCAAGUGCGAAAGCGUGGGGAGCAAACAGG